GGGAGGAACACCUUGAGAGGAGUUGAGAUCCUGCUUUCUCUUCAGAAUGCCAUCUCCAGGAUGCCAAUGGGUUGUGUCUACAGUACUAUGUAGGAAAGUGCUGCAAGAGGUCAUGAGACCUUCAUGUGAGAGCUGCUCUCCCUGUACCUUGAGGAAAGAAACCUCUUUCUCUCUGAAGAUGAACAGUCACAGAGAAGUAUCUGAAUAAACACGUCUUACUAACUUUCCCCCAGUUUAUUAUUAUUAGAUCACACCCCCUUUGUCCAGUAUAUCCACUUUUCAUCAAACCUAGUAUAAAAUACAGUUGACCCUUGAACAACAUGGGGGUGCUACGAGCACUAACUCACUACACAAUAGGAAAACAGCAUAUAACCUUUGACUCCCCCCAACUUAACUACUAAUAGCCUACUGUUGACCAGAAGAAGCCUUGUCGAUAAUACAGAUAGUUGAUGAACAUGUAUUUUGUGUGUUAAUGUAUAAUACAAUGUAUUAUUACAAUCCAGUAAGCUAGAAAACACAAAAUAUUGUUAAAAUCAUAAGAAAAUACAUUUAUAGUACUGUAUUUGCUUAUGCUGUGAGUUUACCUCAUGUGUUUACAAGAUGAAUCGUCUGUCUGAAAUGAUGAACAAAGGCAGCUGCAGACCUCUAUCUAGAGCACAUGUCAAGCAAUUCAACUUUUGCUUAAAAUUCUAUGACUUUUCUCCACUUCUUAGGGGCACCUCCAGCAGCACUAGUAGCGCUAGUGGCACUUUGCGUGGUUCCGUUAUUAAAGAUUCAAGGUAUUGCACUAAACAAGAUGAAAAAUACACGAGAACUGCAAAACAUCACUUUGUACUGCAAUAUGCAAUUUACUGGAGAGAUCAACUGCUCACUGGAAGAUGAUUCACCUCACCUAGCAUUUUAAGCAGAUACAUGCAACACUUAUUAAUAAGAGGAGUUGACUGCAAAAAUAUUGCAGUAGUACAAUAUGUACUACACAUAAUUUAUGCAGUUAUAAUUUAAUAUCACAUUUUUAUGUUUGUUUACAUUUCUCUCUACUACAUACAGCUGUGCUACAUAUGGUCUGUAAGUGUGAGCAUAAGUUUUGGUAAGUUUUACUUUUUGCAAUAGAUUUGUGUACAUUUUGUGAGAAUUGAUGAAAUAUACUAGUAUCUACGUAUGAUUUUUUUCAUUUUUGACAUAGCUUUUCUUUUGUUUUGACAUUUCUAGACUAUGCAGUUCAUCUGGGAGUUUUCCAAAUUCUUGCAAAUCUCUAAAAAGUUUUUUAAUACGUUGGUUGAAAAAAUUUCCAUGUCUAAGUGGAUCUGCACAAUUCAAACUUGUUCAAGAGUCAAUUUCAUACCCAAGUUUAACUGUUUAUUUUGGUUUUCAUAUCCUUAUGAGGAUUCCCGUGUUAUGUAAAAUAUAUUACAUGGUUGUAGGUAUGUGCUCUACCCUGAGAAGAACAUAGGCCAUUUGUUUCCACCCACGAGUCUUAGUUUUUAGAUAUGCAUAUGCCAACCUGAGAGGUACUGAACUAAUGUAGCCAUGCUUUGUGUGUUCUAGCCCUGUUUGAAAGUUCUUUUUUGUCUAAGGAAAGGAAAACAAUUCUCAGAGAACUCAUCUAGAAUAACAUCCCUGUACUUUCUUAUGAGAAAGAGAAAGUUGCUUGUUGAAGCCUUUGGAGACAGAAGUUUUAAGGUGCUAAGAAAGAAAAGUAAAUACCAAGGAACACAAGUGCUGGUUCACAUGGUAACAAUAUGUUUAGAUUUGUAAGAGACUGUCAAACUGUCUCCCAAAGAGGCAGUACCAUUUUGCAUUCCCACCAGCAAUGAAUGAAGAGUUCCUGUUUCUCUGAUCCGUGGGGAUGCUCCUUGACUUACGAUAGGGCUAUGUCUGGACAAACCUAUGUUGCCACCUCUCUGCUUCAUAUCUGCAGCUGCAACUCUACCCUUGAACUCAUCUUUAAAACUACCCAGAGACAAAGACUGUCAACAGCUUUAGAGCUUUACAACAGGAUCUUCCAAGUGCCCUGAGAACUCAUGAUGGAGCCAAUAGAAAUAAAUCAUACAAAACAAAGCCAGCCCCUGGUGGGAGGGAUGCUUAUAAAACAACAUAAACAAGAAGAUUCUGAAAAAAAAUUGUAUGGAAGGAAGAAGAGAUGAGAUAAUGGAAAUGAACUCAAAAUAGCCCCAGUUAAAAUACUUACAGUAAAAUAUCAUUAGUACUACUUGAUGUUGGUGAAAGGCUCUAGACCCAAGUCAGAAGGCCUGAGUGUUUGCUGUAAUUUCUUGAACAAAUUAUGUAAUUUUGUUGAGAUUCAGUUUUCUUUUCUAUCAUUGGGUAACAAUAACUUCUCUGGGAUGUCAGAGUUAUGAUGUGAAGUUAAAAUAACUAAUAAAUGGGUAAGCCCUG
RNAcentral lists this long non-coding RNA (2394 nucleotides) under Macaca mulatta (Rhesus monkey). RNAcentral describes it as "lncRNA (ENSMMUG00000057934.1)". Lineage: Eukaryota; Metazoa; Chordata; Mammalia; Primates; Cercopithecidae. The record is from RNAcentral.